This 253-nucleotide ribosomal RNA is filed under the name uncultured bacterium. RNAcentral's name for it is "partial 16S ribosomal RNA". It matches the Rfam family "Bacterial small subunit ribosomal RNA", at positions 524 to 776 of the family's 1533-position model. The record is from RNAcentral.
UACGUAGGUGGCAAGCGUUGUCCGGAUUUACUGGGCGUAAAGCGUGCGCAGGCGGUUAUGUAAGACAGGUGUGAAAUCCCAGGGCUUAACCUUGGAACUGCAUUUGUGACUGCAUAGCUAGAGUACGGUAGAGGGGGAUGGAAUUCCGCGUGUAGCAGUGAAAUGCGUAGAUAUGCGGAGGAACACCGAUGGCGAAGGCAAUCCCCUGGACCUGUACUGACGCUCAUGCACGAAAGCGUGGGGAGCAAACAGG